GAAAUGCGAUAAGUAAUGUGAAUUGCUGAAUUCCGUGAAUCAUCGAAUCUUUGAACGCACAUUGCGCCCUCUGGCAUUCCGGGGGGCAUGCCUGUCCGAGCGUCAUUACGCACCCUCAAGCCCGGCUUGUGUGAUGGGCCCCGGCGUCUCGUUCGCGAGACGGGCCCGAAAGGCAGCGGCGGCGUCGACCCGAUGAGCCCGAGCGUAUGGGGACUUCUGUCACACGUUCGCGGUGCGGACCGGCGCCUGCUUGACUUUUCUGAUUAUCCAGGUUGACCUCGGAUCAGGUAGGGAUACCCGCUGAACUUAAGC
Molecule: unclassified non-coding RNA, 312 nt
Filed under: plant metagenome
Description: partial contains 5.8S ribosomal RNA, internal transcribed spacer 2, and large subunit ribosomal RNA
Rfam family: 5.8S ribosomal RNA (bases 1-105)
Source: RNAcentral